AACUUUCGGCAAUGGAUCACUUGUCUGUCGCAUCGAUGAAGAACGCAGCGAAAUGCGAUAAGUAAUGUGAAUUGCAGAAGUCAGUGAAUCAUCGAAUCUUUGAACGCACCUUGCGCUCCUUGGUAUUCCGAGGAGCAUGCCUGUUUGAGUGUCAUUAAAUUCUCAACCUCAUAACGUUUUCGGACGGUCCUUGAGGCUUGGACUUUGGAGCGUGUCGGUUUCUUAUUGAAGUCGACUCCUCUUUAAAUGCAUUAGCUGGAACCUCUUGUGGACCAGACUACGGUGUGAUAAUUAUCUACGCUGUGGCCUUGUGAAGCACUUUGUUACGAGGUUCUGCUUCUAACCGUCCCUUACACGGACAACAAUCUUAAUUGACAUUUUGACCUCAAAUCAGGUAGGACUACCCGCUGAACUUAAGCAUAUCAAUAAGCGGAGGCU
RNAcentral lists this unclassified non-coding RNA (438 nucleotides) under uncultured Typhula. Its description in RNAcentral is "sequence contains ITS2". The stretch from base 1 to 154 matches the Rfam family "5.8S ribosomal RNA". The record is from RNAcentral. Lineage: Eukaryota; Fungi; Basidiomycota; Agaricomycetes; Agaricales; Typhulaceae.